Molecule: ribosomal RNA, 221 nt
Filed under: uncultured bacterium
Lineage: Bacteria
Description: partial 16S ribosomal RNA
Rfam family: Bacterial small subunit ribosomal RNA
Source: RNAcentral
CCAUUCUCAGUUCGGAUUGUAGGCUGAAACUCGCCUACAUGAAGCUGGAGUUACUAGUAAUCGCAGAUCAGAAUGCUGCGGUGAGUGCGUUCCCGGGUCUUGUACACACCGCCCGUCACACCACGGAAGUUGGGGGCGCCCGAAGCCACUUAGCUAACCCUUUUGGGAAGCGAGUGUCGAAGGUGAAAUCAAUAACUGGGGUGAAGUCGUAACAAGGUAAC